UUAUUAUGAUGAAUAGUUUCACAACUUUCUUUUCCGGUGAAAAAAAAAAUGUGCCAUGGAAAAAACAUGCAUCACCAUCUGAUC
Molecule: small nucleolar RNA, 84 nt
Filed under: Pachysolen tannophilus NRRL Y-2460
Lineage: Eukaryota; Fungi; Ascomycota; Pichiomycetes; Alaninales; Pachysolenaceae
Source: RNAcentral